Molecule: non-coding RNA, 2429 nt
Organism: Python bivittatus (Burmese python)
Lineage: Eukaryota; Metazoa; Chordata; Lepidosauria; Squamata; Pythonidae
Source: RefSeq, a predicted model, not a curated record
UCCAGGGCAUAUCCAGACUUACUGUUUAAGCUGCUCCUCUCCUGUGCUCAUACCAGCUUGACUCUAAACUGGUUUAAGAAAAUCCUAUCUGGACUGAGGCAUUUUGGCAAUAGUUUGCAAGGUAUUCAGUCUGGACUGAGGGCUAUUAUUUCCUCCUGUUGGUGGAAGGUUGUUUUUGGAGCAAGUGGAGAUCAACAGAGGGCAAUGUUGUCCAUUUCGGCCCUCCAGUAAUGGUUGCCAGCCAGUUCUGAUGAUGAGGCACUCAGCUCCUUCAGCUGAUAGAAUGGCUUCCUAUGAAGAGACACUUGUCCUCUCCCCUGUCCACUAAUGUGAUUACAAAUCUGCUCUGAAGAGUUGGGAACUUUCCACAGCAGAUCUGAGAAGCAGAGAAGAGAGGAAGGAAGUUACAAUGUGUGACUAGAACUGUCCUUACACAAGGAGAUGUGGAGUUCCCCUGAAGCUUCUGAGGGAGCCCCAAGAUUUCCAGGAGUGCAGAAGCUAUUUCAGAAAGAAAGCCAUGCAGAUGAAAUUCCUCUAAAUGGUUCCUUGAAGACUAAGCGUGCUCAUGAGGACAUAAUGAGUUGGGAAAAAAGAAACGGACUGUGCUGUAAUGUGGGUAUAUGGCACUGGUGGUUAAAGGUCUAUAGCAGCCCAGAAGCUUCAGACAUGUUCUGGUGGAUCAUCACUGAAAUAAAAUACUAACCCAGCUUCUCAAAAAUAUACUUAUAAACAUGUAUACAUUUAUAAGAAUUGUAAGAAGGUUAUACAAUUACAAUAAUGUAUUUUAAUAUAUAAUGAACUUUUGCUUUUACAGGGAACCAGAAUAAGCAAGAUCUUGGAAUCAUAGAAAUAAAUUUAAUAAUUCAAGAUGUCUCUCUUGACUCAGCCCCAGAUUCAGGGAACAAAUCCCAGGCUGUUUUCUAGUUAUAAAUUGGAAUACUAAGACUAUACAUCGUAGGAUUUUUGUGAAACUGAAAUCAGGAUUGUAAUUCAUUCUUCAUGAUUAUUAAUACUACAACUGAACAUGCAGCAUAGGUUUAAGAGGCAUAGAUGCUCUUUAAAAAAGUAAUCAACAAUUACUUUAAUAAUAUAGGCCACCAUAAUGCUUUUCUUGAUGUGUGGUAUACAAAGAAAAUGCAAUCAGCAUUAAAUACAUUUGUCUGCUUUAUUCCUUUAUCCUUUCUAAAUGGUCCAAAGUGAUGGACCUUUUUACAGAAGCUUUCCCAUGCUUUCAACCUGCAAAGCAUGGCCACUUUAGAUUGUAGGGAGAUGCUCCAUGAAAGGUUCUAAAGAUACGCAAAGUGAAAGCCAAAAGAAAAAAGAAAAAAAAAAAACCAACAACAACCUGCAAUAAAAGAAAAAUGUUUCUCUUAGGUGCAGGCUUUACGAAACAAUUAAGCAAUAACGAAUGCAUUAAGUAAAUGACUGAGAGAGAGAGAGAGAGAGGGAGGGAGGGAGAGGCUGUGUUGCAGCACUAUCAGAAAGAAGCAAAAGAACAUCAACAUCACUUUCAGAGUGUUGUCAUUAGGCAACUUCCAGGGGCCUGAAGGUCGCAUUCGACAAAGGGUGGGGUCAGUGCCCCUUGUGGGAGGGCUGGGAGCUUUGAACAGUGAACCUAGUGCCAUACGCACUUCCAAGUCUUAGGAGGUGGAGAGCUGCGUUAGUUUAGGCCAGCAAAAAAUCAGAAGUCUGGUAGGACCUUUUCCAACUAGCGCAGGUUAUUAAAAGGCCGAAAUGCACAAAAGCUUACGCCUUUUAAUAGGUGUAAAAGGUGCUACCAAACUCCUUUUGGCUUUUUGUAAGUCAUAAUUUUGCCCAUUAAACUUCCCCAGGCCUCCGAAUUAAGAAAUGGGAUGCUGGUAGGCUCCGUUUGGCACCCUUUUUGCAUCCCUCUAUUACAGGGGAAAAUACAAAAGAAAAAGGCAAGUAUAGCAUCCAAAAAGCACUCCAAUUCAUACUCAUGUUGAGACUUAACACAAGGCAGAUUUUGGGGACUGGGUCAAUCGCCUGCUGGUACUCAUUGUGUUCCAUCCCAUUUUAAUUAUACAAGACCAAAAGCCAGGGCUCCACUUUGUACAAGAGCACUAAUGACAUGUUGACUCACAAAUAGCACAUACAGUACUCCAAGGCCUGAUGGGAGAAGCAGGCUAUGAGCUAUUUUUUUCACAUACAGUGAUUCAUUUCCUAUAAAAGAAAAAAAAAAAGACAGUUCCAUCUGUUCUCAGCUCAUAAUUAUUGAAAGAAGCAUGAUGCUGGUGAUGAUUUUGCAUACGGAGGUGGCAAACCUCAGAUAUUACCUUUCCUUUGAAGCAUCGAUUUUGCUUUCGUAAUGAAGCUCUUGAUAGUGCCAGACUCACCUCUCUUAAUUGACAGAAAUGGGAGCCUGGGCCCUCCAGAUAUUGAAUCCAAAUACCCAUCAGCUAAGCCAG